Molecule: long non-coding RNA, 3383 nt
Organism: Toxorhynchites rutilus septentrionalis
Lineage: Eukaryota; Metazoa; Arthropoda; Insecta; Diptera; Culicidae
Exons: 3
Source: RefSeq, a predicted model, not a curated record
GAAUAAUUAAACAAACCAAAUGGCAUCACUGGUGGUUCUUUUUUCAACUCCGCUAAACUGUCAUCUCAAACAAAAACAAUUGGAUCAUACAACUGCUAUGAAUACAUUCGACUCGUUUGCUUCCAUCAAUCGGUAAGUGAGAAAGAUGAUUUCUCUCAUCACCACAGUGCGGAUUUCCACUUCUAUCACAGCAGCCAACAACAUCCGUUUUCCUGCAGCAGUAACCUCCAACCCCUGUUGGCAAUGCCGGAGGACAGCAUUAACAGCAGCAGCAGCAGAAUUUGACCAUGGUAUGGUAUUGCGAAGAACUUUCCCCAUUAGAGGUUCCGUGCUUCGCGCACAUUCAAAAAUCCUCUUCAGACACGAAAACUUAACGACAAGGAGGUAUUUAUCAACUUGCUCAGCUGAAUUACCACCCAGAGGAACCCGAAUGCACUGAUUCCGUUGUAUAGUAGAAUGAAAAUAGGCGAGGUAAGCGAACGUAAUCGCAUGAUAUUUUAAUGUUCGCAUUUUUAUCCGGAUCAUACAACUGCUAUGAAUACAUCCGACUCAAUCAAUCGGCGAAUGAGAAAGAUGAUUUCCCUCAUCUCCACAUUGCUUAUUUCCACUUCUGUCACACCAGCCAACAGCAUCAGCUUUCCCGCAGCAGUAUCCUUUAAAUCCAGGGUGCUAUUCCGGGGAACAGCAUCAACAGCAACAGCAGCAGGACCUGGCCAUCGAUAGUAUUUCGAGCAAUUUUCCCCAUCGGAGAUCCCGUGCUUCACGCACAUUGAAGAAUCCUCCUCAGCCACAUAUCUGUGUCAUCAAGGGCAGGUAUUCAUCAAUGUACUCAGUCGGAUUUGAAUCGUCAAUCCAGACAACCCGGAUGCACCGAUUCCAUUAUAUACAUUAUUUUGACGUAGGACUACGUCUAACCGGAAGAUAUAGGGGGUGAAAUGAGAAUCUAGGCACUGAACAAGUAGGAAAAAAUGCAAGAUUUGGAACGCUUAUAACUCGAGCAUUUCUCAAUAGAUCGCAAAGGUUUUUGCAUCGAUUGAUAGGAAAUAUAUCUACGCAUCUAUCAUAACGAAUAACAUUUCAUUUUUCUUGAGAUAAAUAAUUGAAUAAUUGUGAAAUAUCAAGCAUUGUCCAAAUGCACUAUGUGCCCAUUUUUGAUUGGUCCAUUUUGUGCUCCUCAAAUCGUACCGACCAAAACGGGCAACCAGAGCAGCAGCGAAAUAGAAUGAAGCACGAUUGGAAAGGAAAAAGAAAAAAAUGAACGAAACAUUGGUCGCAGUCUCACACAUGCGUAAUUCCCGAGCUAACCAGUCAGUUUAAAAAUCUCCGCUCCGCUGCCGUAACGAUCAUUCUCAUCCAAACCGUACACCACAUCGUUUCGCAUCACAUCACAUCAACAAACCAACACAAGCAGCCAUGGUUGGAUAUGGCAAAGGAGGAAAAGUGAAGGGAAAGGCGUGUUGGUCUGGAGUUCCCCGCAAGGGUAGCUAGGCCGAGCGCGUUAGUACCAGUGCACCAGUCCACCUAGCCACCGUUAUAUAGUUUCGGCCGCCGAAAUGAUCGAGUUGGGUGGCAAAAUUGCUCGCGACGAUAAGAAAACCGGCAUUCAGAACAGACCACAUUCGGUUCGGUGGACAUCAAGACAACAACAGGCAGUUGUAGCGAGUGGCGAGUGGCGAGUAGCAAACGCAAUCGCAAAACGGCAGCAGGUAGAAAAAGGAAAAAAUUUGUUUAUACAGACUGCUUUGGUGGCAAAAACAGCUACCGUAAAACACGGCGCUUUUCAGGGCUAUUAAACCUAUUAAAGAAGAGUUAUUAAAAGUUAUUCACAAUACCAAUGCAUUCUAAAGUGACAUAAUAUGACAUAUAAUAUGAACUGAUUUAUUUUGUUUAUGCUUGUUUUUGAACUUAUUGGAGGUUGGGGUCUUUUAAAUUGAUCAUUCAGUUUUCACAAACCCAUGCAUGGUUCCUGAAUUGAAAGUGGCUUCAAAUUACAACACAUUGUAUGCAGGAUGGCAUUCACGAAUUUUCUCGGUAGCAAGAACUGCUUUCUUUGGUUGAUAACUGAUGUUGAAAAUUGACUGACGUUACAUCUGCAUUGUAUAGAAACAUAACUAAGGAGCAACAUGAUGAGCUAUGUAUUUCCUGCUGCUCUGUUCUUAUUUUAAAGGACUUUAUUCCGAAGGUCAUCCGUCCCUAUAUUUACUGUUGGUUUUUCAGAACGCUUAUAGCUCAUCUGUUUCUCGACAGAUCUUAAAGUUCGUCUCCAAAUCCUCAGUUCUUUUUCAUUUUUAUUUACAUUGUUUGUGGAGACUACAAAUCUUACAAUUCAUUCGUCUCCGAAACCACAGUUUAAGGUACGGUAAUGUGAAAUUUAUGAUAGUGAAUGAGCUGAGGACCACUAUGCAUUCCUUAUCAUAGCCAUCAUUUUGAUUUUAUGAUAUGUGCAUACGCCAAAGGAUGCCCGAAGUUGAACAUUCAAUAAGUAAAAAUAUCAAGAAGCAACUAUAAGAUAGUGAGAAAAAAUUGAGAAAGUUUUAAAAAAACGCAAAAACACAACACCAAAAGUUCUUUUCAGAACCCCCAACAUGUUCAUAAAGAGUGAACAAUAAACUAAUCCAUUUUUCAUUUAGAUAGGUAGGUAUUCACCGAGGAGAAGAAAAUAAAACAAUAUAUUUAGCAAAAGCUGUCCCCUUUAUAUAGUCCUACGUCACUCCGGUUAUGUCCCUGACAUUACCCACCUGUCUUUUUUUAUUAUACAUGGAUUUUUAUUAUUUUUUUUCAAUAAAAUGAUUAAAAUCGAUCAAUGUAUUUCCUUUUCAUUUUCAAUAACAAACCAAUACAAACAACCCACAUUCCGUUUUGCCUGCCAAGAUCGGGUCGAUGAAAUGUCAACAAUCGACCUCAAAUGCUGCCACCUUGCAAUCGAGUUCUCGACCUUUCAUAUGCAUUCAUCGAACAACUUGACGCCACUUUUUCGCCAACAUGUGCAAGGCGUCGACCUGCUUGCAGCGCUGCUUCCAGCACUGCUUGCUGCUUGUUUGUAUUGGUUUGUUAUUGAAAAUGAAAAGGAAAUACAUAGAUCGAUUUUAAUCAUUUUAUUGAAAACAUAAUAAUAAAAAACCAUGUAUAAUAAACAUAAGGUAUAUAAUGGAAUCGGUGCAUCCGGGUUGUCUGGAUUGACGAUUCAAAUCCGACUGAGUACAUUGAUGAAUACCUCCUUGCCCUUGAUGACACAGAUAUGUGGCUGAGGAGGAUUCUUCAAUGUGCGUGAAGCACGGGAUCUCCGAUGGGGAAAAUUGCUCGAAAUACUGUCGAUGACCAGGUCCUGCUGCUGUUGCUGUUGAUGCUGUUCCCCGGAAUAGCACCCUGGACUUAAAGGAUAC